Molecule: non-coding RNA, 87 nt
Organism: Caerostris extrusa
Lineage: Eukaryota; Metazoa; Arthropoda; Arachnida; Araneae; Araneidae
Source: the annotation of a GenBank genome assembly
CGGUUCUCGUUAGAUCACCGAAGUCAAGCAUCAUUGGGCGCGGUCAGUAUUUGGGUGGGUGACUACCUGGCAACACCGCGUGCCGUU